AUUGGGAAGAAAUCCUCCUAGUCAGAUACAAGAACACUCCUGUAUCAUAUUUCUGCAUUUUUGUUUUCAUUACCCAGAAGUAAGAAAUUCUACAGGACUACUCUUAUGUUCAGAUUGUUGAGAGAAGUCUGACUUGUGGGGUAACUUUUCACCAUGCAGGAGACUAAAAAUGGUCUGGCUGAUCUACAGCUCACACAUGUUGGUAAUUAAAGCAUCACUUAUUUGAUGCACCUGGCUGAACUCUUGAGUGGAACACAGAAAGUGGAAAGUUACUCUGUCUGCAUGGUAUUUUACUCCAAAAGAGAAGUAGCAAAAAUGGGAAUGAAUUUCAAAGACAAACAUUUGAGGAAUUAUGGAGACCCUGAGCAAAAAGUUAACAACCAUUCCCUUGGAAGAUGCUGCACAGUAAUCACUUUGUGUUGCAACAGCUCCGUUGGAUUGUCCUGCUCAGCUCUUCAGGAAUUUUUGGAGGGAUUUCUUUGGUUUCUGAAACUAGUAUAAAGGUAAUGAAGCUUUUUAUCUAAUAAAAUAACAGCAAUUAAAAUUCA
Molecule: long non-coding RNA, 548 nt
Filed under: Phasianus colchicus (ring-necked pheasant)
Lineage: Eukaryota; Metazoa; Chordata; Aves; Galliformes; Phasianidae
Description: lncRNA (ENSPCLG00000017985.1)
Source: RNAcentral